This 313-nucleotide unclassified non-coding RNA is filed under the name plant metagenome. Its description in RNAcentral is "partial contains 5.8S ribosomal RNA, internal transcribed spacer 2, and large subunit ribosomal RNA". The stretch from base 1 to 104 matches the Rfam family "5.8S ribosomal RNA", at positions 50 to 154 of the family's 154-position model. The record is from RNAcentral.
GAAAUGCGAUAAUUAAUGUGAUUUGCAGAAUUCAGUGAAUCAUCGAGUCUUUGAACGCACAUUGCGCCCCCUGGUAUUCCGGGGGCAUGCCUGUCCGAGCGUCAUUGCUGCCCUCAAGCACGGCUUGUGUGUUGGGCUUCCGUCCCUGGCAACGGGGACGGGCCCAAAAGGCAGUGGCGGCACCAUGUCUGGUCCUCGAGCGUAUGGGGCUUUGUCACCCGCUCCCGUAGGUCCAGCUGGCAGCUAGCCUCGCAACCAAUCUUUUUAACCAGGUUGACCUCGGAUCAGGUAGGGAUACCCGCUGAACUUAAGC